Molecule: long non-coding RNA, 156 nt
Organism: Daphnia magna
Lineage: Eukaryota; Metazoa; Arthropoda; Branchiopoda; Diplostraca; Daphniidae
Exons: 2
Source: RefSeq, a predicted model, not a curated record
GGGCCCAAACCAUCUCCAAAGAAAAGAAAUCCCCAAAGAAAAUAACCGAAAAACUGAAACUAGAAACAAAAGACGUCGAGAGGUUCAUUUUGUGUGUUAAAAAUCAUCCUGUAUUGUAUAAUACUACAUUGCACGAUUACAAAGUUACAAAAGUUA